Molecule: transfer RNA, 75 nt
Filed under: Candidatus Buchananbacteria bacterium CG10_big_fil_rev_8_21_14_0_10_33_19
Lineage: Bacteria; Candidatus Buchananiibacteriota
Description: tRNA-Arg
Rfam family: tRNA
About the family: Transfer RNA (tRNA) molecules are approximately 80 nucleotides in length.
Source: RNAcentral
GUCCUCAUAGUUCAACGGAUAGAACAUGAGCUUGCGGAGCUUAAAAUGUAGGUUCGAUUCCUGCUGAGGACACAA